UACGUAGGGAGCAAGCGUUGUCCGGAAUCAUUGGGCGUAAAGAGCGUGUAGGCGGCUAGAUAGGUCCGUUGUGAAAACUCGAGGCUCAACCUCGAGACGCCGGUGGAAACCAUCUAGCUAGAGUCCGGAAGAGGAGAGUGGAAUUCCUGGUGUAGCGGUGAAAUGCGCAGAUAUCAGGAAGAACACCCGUGGCGAAGGCGGCUCUCUGGGACGUGACUGACGCUGAGACGCGAAAGCGUGGGGAGCGAACAGG
RNAcentral lists this ribosomal RNA (253 nucleotides) under uncultured bacterium. RNAcentral describes it as "partial 16S ribosomal RNA". It matches the Rfam family "Bacterial small subunit ribosomal RNA", at positions 524 to 776 of the family's 1533-position model. The record is from RNAcentral.